This 96-nucleotide non-coding RNA is filed under the name Paramoeba aestuarina. Lineage: Eukaryota; Discosea; Flabellinia; Dactylopodida; Paramoebidae. The record is from RNAcentral.
UGUAAAGAAAGAAAGAAAGAAAAAAAAGAGAGAGAAAGAGAGAAAAGAGAGAGGGAGAAAUAUGUUGGCUGGUGCUUUUCGAUUAUCUUCUUCUUC